AACGAACGCUGGCGGCAUGCCUAACACAUGCAAGUCGAACGAGACCUUCGGGUCUAGUGGCGCACGGGUGCGUAACGCGUGGGAACCUGCCCUUAGGUUCGGAAUAACUCCCCGAAAGGGGUGCUAAUACCGGAUAAUGUCUUCGGACCAAAGAUUUAUCGCCUUUGGAUGGGCCCGCGUUGGAUUAGCUAGUUGGUAGGGUAAAAGCCUACCAAGGCGACGAUCCAUAGCUGGUCUGAGAGGAUGGUCAGCCACACUGGGACUGAGACACGGCCCAGACUCCUACGGGAGGCAGCAGUGGGGAAUAUUGGACAAUGGGCGAAAGCCUGAUCCAGCAAUGCCGGGUGAGUGAUGAAGGCAUUAGGGUUGUAAAGCUCUUUUACCCGGGAUGAUAAUGACAGUACCGGGAGAAUAAGCUCCGGCUAACUCCGUG
This 433-nucleotide ribosomal RNA is filed under the name uncultured bacterium. RNAcentral describes it as "partial 16S ribosomal RNA". It matches the Rfam family "Bacterial small subunit ribosomal RNA", at positions 29 to 507 of the family's 1533-position model. The record is from RNAcentral.